RNAcentral lists this ribosomal RNA (492 nucleotides) under uncultured bacterium. RNAcentral's name for it is "partial 16S ribosomal RNA". It matches the Rfam family "Bacterial small subunit ribosomal RNA", at positions 29 to 507 of the family's 1533-position model. The record is from RNAcentral.
AGUGAACGCUGGCGGUAGGCCUAACACAUGCAAGUCGAACGGCAGCACAGUAAGAGCUUGCUCUUACGGGUGGCGAGUGGCGGACGGGUGAGGAAUACAUCGGCAUCUACUUUUUCGUGGGGGAUAACGUAGGGAAACUUACGCUAAUACCGCAUACGACCUACGGGUGAAAGCAGAGGAUCUUCGGACCUUGCGCGAUUGAAUGAGACGAUGUCGGAUUAGCUAGUUGGCGGGGUAAAGGACCACCAAGGCGACGAUCCGUAGCUGGUCUGAGAGGAUGAUCAGCCACACUGGAACUGAGACACGGUCCAGACUCCUACGGGAGGCAGCAGUAGGGAAUAUUGGGCAAUGGGCGCAAGCCUGAUCCAGCCAUACCGCGUGGGUGAAGAAGGCCUUCGGGUUGUAAAGCCCUUUUGUUGGGAAAGAAAAGCAGCAGGUUAAUACCCCGCUGUUCUGACGGUACCCAAAGAAUAAGCACCGGCUAACUUCGUG